ACGGGGUGCAGCAGGCGCGAAAACUUUGCAAUAGGCGAAAGUGUGACAGGGCUACCCCGAGCGCCAUCCGCUGAGGAAGGCUUUUACCCAGUUUAGAACGCUGGGGGAAUAAGGAGAGGGCAAGUCUGGUGUCAGCCGCCGCGGUAAUACCAGCUCUCCGAGUGGUGUGGACGUUUAUUGGGCCUAAAGCAUCCGUAGCUGGCUGAACAAGUCCCCUGUUAAACCCAACGAUUUAAUCGUUGGCUUGCGGGGGAAACUGCUCGGCUAGGAGACGGGAGAGGCAGACGGUAUUCUCGGGGUAGGGGUGAAAUCCUAUAAUCCCGAGAAGACCACCAGUGGCGAAGGCUGUCUGCUAGAACGCACUCGACGGUGAGGGAUGAAAGCUGGGGGAGCGAACCGGAUUAGAUACCCUGGUAGUCCACGCUGUAAACGAUGUGCACUAGGUGUUGGAGGUACUUAAUCCUCCAGUGCCGCAGCUAACGCAUUAAGUGCACCGCCUGGGGAAUACGGCCGCAAGGUUAAAACUCAAAGGAAUUGGCGGGGGGGCAC
Molecule: ribosomal RNA, 549 nt
Filed under: uncultured archaeon
Lineage: Archaea
Description: bacterial SSU rRNA
Rfam family: Archaeal small subunit ribosomal RNA
Source: RNAcentral